This 486-nucleotide ribosomal RNA is filed under the name Triticum aestivum (bread wheat). Its description in RNAcentral is "partial small subunit ribosomal RNA". The record is from RNAcentral. Lineage: Eukaryota; Viridiplantae; Streptophyta; Magnoliopsida; Poales; Poaceae.
AUGGACUGCAAGGAUGGCCUAGGCGUGGUGGAGGUUCCUGCCAUGGAGGAGAUGCAAGGCGUGGUGGAGGUUCCUGCCAUGGAGGAGGUGCAAGGCGUGGUGGAGGUUCCUACCAUGGAGGAGAUGCAAGGCGUGGUGGAGGUUCCUGCCAUGGAGGAGGUGCUAGGCGUGCUCGACGUUCAUGUCGUGAAGGAGGUGGUGCAAGAGCAAGAGGUCGGAGGGCCGGUGCAAGAGCAAGAGGUGGUACGCAAAACCUACUCCAACCCGACCUCAACUUGUGAGGUGUGUAUUCAUCCGGCUUUGAGCCUCAAGUGUGGCAUUCGCGGUGAGGCUUCCAUAUUCCUUUGCUUAGGAUGUAGGCUCCCGGUACCAAAAGAUUUGCGUUCUUGCGAGUCGUGUGGAAAUCCUUGCCUCUGUGACAAUUUUUGGUGCAAAGAUUGUGCGACUACGGUGGCGAUAAACAAAGAUGGGGUAUGCAUAAGGUGA